CACGUAGGAGGCGAGCGUUAUUCGGAUUUACUGGGCGUAAAGGGCGAGUAGGUGGCACAUCAAGUUGGAUGUGAAAGCUCCCGGCUUAACUGGGAGAGGACGUUCAAAACUGAUGAGCUUGAGUAUGAGAGAGGAAAAUGGAAUUCCGGGUGUAGUGGUGAAAUGCGUAGAUAUCCGGAGGAACACCAGUGGCGAAGGCGAUUUUCUGGCUCAAGACUGACACUCAGACGCGAAAGCUAGGGUAGCAAACGGGAUUAGAGACCCCGGUAGUCCUAGCCGUAAACGAUGUAGACUAGGCGUUGGUUGAGUAAAAUCGAUCAGUGUCGGAGCAAACGCGAUAAGUCUACCGCCUGGGGACUACGGCCGCAAGGCUAAAACUCAAAGGAAUUGACGGGGCCCCGCACAAGCAGCGGAGCGUGUGGUUUAAUUCGAUGCUACGCGAAGAACCUUACCAGGGUUUGACAUACAGGUAGUAGGGAAAGGAAACUGGACCGACCCUUCGGGGAGCCUGAACAGGUGCUGCAUGGCU
RNAcentral lists this ribosomal RNA (529 nucleotides) under uncultured bacterium. RNAcentral describes it as "bacterial SSU rRNA". It matches the Rfam family "Bacterial small subunit ribosomal RNA", at positions 524 to 1050 of the family's 1533-position model. The record is from RNAcentral.